AUGAACGCUGGCGGCGUGCUUAACACAUGCCAGUCGAACGGAAAGGCUCCUGCUUGCAGGGGUACUCGAGUGGCGAACGGGUGAGUAACACGUGGGUGAUCUGCCCUGCACUUCGGGAUAAGCCUGGGAAACUGGGUCUAAUACCGGAUAGGACGAUGGUUUGGAUGCCAUUGUGGAAAGUUUUUCGGUGUGGGAUGAGCUCGCGGCCUAUCAGCUUGUUGGUGGGGUAAUGGCCUACCAAGGCGUCGACGGGUAGCCGGCCUGAGAGGGUGUACGGCCACAUUGGGACUGAGAUACGGCCCAGACUCCUACGGGAGGCAGCAGUGGGGAAUAUUGCACAAUGGGCGCAAGCCUGAUGCAGCGACGCCGCGUGGGGGAUGACGGCCUUCGGGUUGUAAACUCCUUUCGCUAGGGACGAAGCGCAAGUGACGGUACCUGGAGAAGAAGCACCGGCUAACUACGUG
Molecule: ribosomal RNA, 464 nt
Filed under: uncultured bacterium
Lineage: Bacteria
Description: partial 16S ribosomal RNA
Rfam family: Bacterial small subunit ribosomal RNA
Source: RNAcentral